RNAcentral lists this ribosomal RNA (303 nucleotides) under uncultured bacterium. Its description in RNAcentral is "partial 16S ribosomal RNA". It matches the Rfam family "Bacterial small subunit ribosomal RNA", at positions 507 to 809 of the family's 1533-position model. The record is from RNAcentral.
AGCAGUCGCCACGGUAAUACGUAGGUCCCGAGUGUUGUCCGGAAUUAUUGGGCGUAAAGCGCGCGCAGGUGGUUUAAUAAGUCUGAUGUGAAAGCCCACGGCUCAACCGUGGAGGGUCAUUGGAAACUGUUAAACUUGAGUGCAGGAGAGAAAAGUGGAAUUCCUAGUGUAGCGGUGAAAUGCGUAGAGAUUAGGAGGAACACCAGUGGCGAAGGCGGCUUUUUGGCCUGUAACUGACACUGAGGCGCGGAAGCGUGGGGAGCAAACAGGAUUAGAUACCCGUGUAGUCCCUGUCUCUUAUAA